Molecule: long non-coding RNA, 1092 nt
Filed under: Anolis carolinensis (green anole)
Lineage: Eukaryota; Metazoa; Chordata; Lepidosauria; Squamata; Anolidae
Description: lncRNA (ENSACAG00000044032.1)
Source: RNAcentral
AUGCCUGUCAUAAGAUAUACUGCUGGCAUUAUAAACUGGACACAGAUGGAACUGGACAAUUUGGACAGAAAAACAAGAAAACUCAUGACCAUUCAUCACUCACUGCACCCUCGCAGUGAUGUUGACCGGCUAUAUCUGCCUAGAAGAUCAGGGGGCAGAGGACUCUUACAAGUAAAACAAGCAGUCAAAGAAGAAGAACAUGCCCUGGCAGAAUAUGUAAAGCAAAGUGAAGAACCUGCUUUGAUUGAAGUCAAAAAUCAGAAACUCCUCAAAGCACAGCAGACAAAAAACCAGUACAAGAAAGCCACACUACAAACUAGAGCUGACAGCUGGCACAACAAAACAUUGCAUGGAAAGUUCCUUGACAAAAUUGAAGGAAAAGCUGACAAGGAGAAGACCUGGCUCUGGCUCACGAAUGGGACCCUGAAGAAGGAGACAGAAGGCCUGAUCCUUGCAGCCCAGGAGCAAGCCAUCAGAACAAAUGCAAUUAAGGCCAAGAUUGAAAAAUCAGCUGAUGACCCAAAAUGCAGACUGUGCAAGGAAGCUGAUGAAACCAUUGAUCAUCUCCUCAGCUGCUGUAAGAAAAUUGCACAGACAGACUACAAACAGAGGCAUAACUGUGUGGCCCAAAUGAUCCAUUGGAACUUAUGCAUCAAGUACCACCUGCCAGCAGCAAAGAACUGGUGGGAUCACAAACCAGCAAAGGUCGUGGAAAAUGAACACGCAAAGAUACUGUGGGACUUCCGAAUCCAGACUGACAAAGUUCUGGAACACAACACACCAGAUAUCACAGUUGUGGAAAAGAACAAGGUUUGGAUAAUUGAUGUCGCCAUCCCAGGUGACAGUCGCAUUGAUGAAAAACAACAGGAAAAACUCAGCCGCUAUCAGGACCUCAAGAUUGAACUUCAAAGACUCUGGCAGAAACCAGUGCAGGUGGUCCCGGUGGUGAUGGGCACAUUGGGUGCUGUGCCAAAAGAUCUCAGCCGGCAUUUGGAAACAAUAGACAUUGACAAAAUUACGAUCUGCCAACUGCAAAAGGCCACCCUGCUGGGAUCUGCACGCAUCAUCCGAAAAUACAUCACACAGUCCUAG